Molecule: long non-coding RNA, 31663 nt
Filed under: Citrus x clementina
Lineage: Eukaryota; Viridiplantae; Streptophyta; Magnoliopsida; Sapindales; Rutaceae
Description: Citrus clementina (C. clementina) long non-coding RNA (CCLE_LNC002936)
Rfam family: U1 spliceosomal RNA (bases 5303-5464)
Source: RNAcentral
UGGGGAUCCGGAAAUGUUUGAUCAUCGCUGCGACCUAAGCGUCUACCAAAAUACGCGUAUAGGUCAGAUCUGUCAAAAGCAUCACCAUUAACCAUGAUGCUUUCUCUAAAGACAUACAUCUUCACACUAAUGAAAGAUAUUGCCUACUAAUAAUUACCUAGUCACUACAAUAACUAUCAUAAUAAACUACAAAGUGAUGACAUAAUGCAUGUCUAUAGGUAAAUUUAUACAAUAAAUGCAUACUUCUAAUUGUUCAAAGGACAAUCUGCAUCUUCAACUGGUCCUCUGUUUGCUGAUAGAAGAAUUUCAUAGGUUCUAAUAUAAAUAACCUGAAGAAUAAACCCAAUAGUACAACAUCAUCACAAUGGAAAAGCAUUUCUAUUGGACAAUGUACAUUAAUCCUGCCACCCACGUAACUGAUACACACGGACAUACUGAUAGACUCAAACAACACAUGUCGCAUGCAAUUGCAAUGUCUCAGCAUUCAUAAAGCUAAACCAUCUGACAAAACGUUGUAUCAGACACCGCCAUAAAUAAAUGAGUUUACAUAUAUAACUUCCCAGUGUACUAAUUUCUCUAGGCAGGUACUCAAUUCCAUAUGGAACAACUACCUAAAAGCAAUGUGAAGCGAUGCUAAUUCAAUGACACUUAAAUGAAGAUGUUUUAAUGCAUACACAAUACUAAACAUCAUAAUAACAAACACGUGAACAAAACAAUAACCAUCUUCUUCGAAUCAAAAUAAGAGAGAUGUCGAAUUUUGCAACUGCCAUUGCCAGAAUGGCCUCCUCAAAAUAAAGCAGAAUAGAAUGACAAGCACCAAAAAUUUUAUAAACCCACAGAAAUACUGCCUAACUAGUUUAUUGUGGUCCGACCAAAGACUUACCACAAAGCUUACCUAUAAUGCAAGCACCAAUUUCGGUGUGCAUUGUUUCUGGUUCAAUGUGUAAAAACAAAAUUUCACAUCAAUAACGUUACGAACAUAAAUGCAUCUUCAUUCACAUAAAGUCCAAACGAAGAUACCUUAUAAAGACAAAAGCCGGAGAGGUUUGUAUCCAUAGUAUAUGUAUCUAACAACACAUGAUGAACAUCAAGCCAGGUCGAGAUAUUUUAUUAGCAAUAGUAGUAAAUUGCUUCAUUUUUUAUUUUAUUUUCAUUUCAUUUUCAGCUAAAUAAUUCCACAAACUUAAUCAACUGCCAGUCAUCAUGGUUUCGAUAAUCAUCUGCCAGGCACACAACACUUUACCAAUUUCCAUAAUACAUAUGAAAAUUGCACAUAUAUUGGAAUAAUUAAGGAUUUUAAUUUAACAACAAAGAGAGUAUCUUCAUUUCAAAACUACUAACUACAAAGCUUCUUAGUUAUCAUUCUAACAUAAUUUGCUUAUAAUAUGCUUUUAUAAUGUUAUUGUUCAUAUUAUUCAUUUAAUUAACAAAUCAAAAGUAAGAUUACUCUCAUUACUCAGGCCUAUAAUAUUCUUAAGUAUACAACAUCAUACUUAAUUUAUCCAUGCUUAAUAAUAUAUUUCACACCUCAGCACUAGUCCAAUUGCUUCAUGUAUAUAUAUAUAUGCAGAUAUAUUUUGAUUUAACAAAUUAUAUUUUGAUAUAUAUGACUGACAACAUAUGAACCUCAAUAGACAUUGUUUUGCCUGUGCACAAGGAAAACAAUACAUAAAAAAGGGCUAAAACAUCCUAUCUUGUCAACACCAUAUACUCUCGCGGCUUCCUGAUAACAGUUUUUCUCUAAAUUUCCCUGCAUUUUCAGGAUGUUAUAUACAAUUGUCGAAAGUACCUUUCAAUCAACUAUUUAGGCAAAAUUUCUUAAAUGACAAGUUUUCUUGCAAAUGCAACAUACAACAAUUUACCCAAUAAGACAUAAUGGUUAAUAAUCAUUAUGAUAUCCACAAUUAUUGCCAUAUAUCAUAUGUUCUCAUUUGCAUAGUUCGAGGAUCUGUAUCAACUUUAAAAUAAAUUUAUCUUCAUAACAAACUGACUCACUUUGUUGCUAUAACAUACAACAUCACCAGCUGAAUUCGCACAUUUGUUGCUUACUCGAAGUUAACCUCCCAUGCCAUUAUCUCAGUCGGUUAUCUCAUAGACAUGAAGUUCUGCAACUUUCGCAACACAAGCAACAACCACCAGUUAUUAACAAGUAUAACAAAAAAUAAUAUAAUUUUGCAUAUGGGAAGUAAAAGUAAGUGAAAAUAAUAACUUCAACAAUUCAUUUUAUAACAAUUAUUCACUUAUUUCACUAUAUCGACUGCUAACAAUUAAACUCUUCAUACAAUCCGUAAGAACAAUAAUCGGUGUCCAACAUAAAUCUAAAAGAUUUACCUUUCUGUUCAUGUAAUCGGCGUCCGAACAUGCCUGAGCAGUCACCAAAUUUGGGGUCUUGCCAUUGAUCGCGAGGAGACAAUUAGUACGUCUUCCCCACUGUGCCACAGCCACGAGCGAUGCAGUGAUUUCGACUGAUUUCCCAAUUACUUACACUUUUCUUUUCUUUUCUUUUUAUUUUUCCUUCGGUUAUUUGACAUUGCUUUUACCGGCCACACCAUUUGUCUUCUUUAACUUGAUGUUCUUUUACUGACCGUUCGAUUUCACUACUCUUGAAUCCAACAGAUAGACCACAAUAGGACAAAAUCGCGGGUACGUUCCAACCGGUGGAAGGAAGUUUUGGCCGAGUAAAAUAAUAAAUACAACAACAACAAUAAUAAUAAUAAUAAUAAAAGAAUCAUAAUUUAUAUUGCACAAGUUAUCUCAAUGACUCGUGAGUCGUGUCGUUUUUCGUGGGUGGGUGACUUGGAUUUAGCCUCAUAUGUCACUGCUCGCGUCAUCUGAAUUUCUCCUUCAUUUCCCACACAUAAUAACAGCGAUUAAUUAAGAAGCACUGAAGCACAAAACCGCGAACCAGAUUUGUCAUCAAACCUAGUAAUUGCAGAUUACAAAGCUUGUACCAACAACCAAAAAUGAGCUGGUGGUGGGCUGGGGCAAUUGGCGCUGCCAAGGUAAAGACUUAUAAUUAGAUUAUCUCUUUCAAUUGCUGUGCUUGAAAAUUUUAUUCUUAUUAGUUCAUACUUUUAAAAUCUUGAGUUUAAUUUUCAUUUUAAAUUACAGAAGAAAUUCGAAGAAAAUGAGCGACCACCGCAACCUCAAGACUACCAGCACGUGGGACUCCUGAUAGGCGUUACGGGAAUUGUGGGAAACAGCCUAGCUGAGAUUUUGCCCCGACAGGAUACUCCCGGGGGCCCGUGGAAGGUCUACGGAGUGGCCCGACGCCCCCGGCCCGACUGGAACGCCGAUCACCCGAUCGAGUACAUCCAAUGCGACGUUUCCGACGAAGACGACACGCAAGCGAAGCUCACAAAACUCACCGACGUCACCCACAUCUUCUACGUGACGUGGGCCAGCCGUCCCACGGAAGCCGAGAACUGCGAGGUUAACGGCGCCAUGCUUCGCAACGUGCUCCGUUCCGUUAUCCCGAACGCGCCAAAUCUCCGCCACGUCUGCCUCCAAACAGGAGCGAAACACUACGUGGGACCGUUCGAGUCGUUCGGCAAGAUACGGCCUCACGACACGCCUUUCACCGAAGACCUGCCAAGACUGAAUGUGCCAAACUUUUAUUACACUCAAGAAGACAUAUUGUUUGAAGAAGUUGAAAAAAGAAAGGGGCCGUUGUCAUUGACUUGGUCGGUACACCGGCCUCAUGUAAUAUUUGGGUUUUCACCGUAUAGUUUGAUGAAUGUUGUGGGCACUCUGUGUGUGUAUGCGGCUAUAUGUAAACAUGAAGGGGUUCCUUUACUGUUUCCAGGGAGUAAAGAUUGUUGGGAGGGCUAUUCGGUUGCUUCGGACGCGGAUUUGAUUGCGGAGCAACAGAUUUGGGCGGCGGUGGAUCCGUAUGCCAGAAACGAAGCUUUUAACUGCAGCAAUGGGGAUGUUUUUAAGUGGAAGCAUUUGUGGAAAGUAUUGGCUGAGCAGUUUGAGAUUGCGAAUUAUGGGUUACCAGAGGAGGGCGACAGAGUGAGAUUGGAGGAAAUUAUGAAAGGUAAAGAAGGUGUGUGGGAGGAGAUUGUGAGAGAGAAUCAGCUGCAGCCCGCAAAGUUGAGUGAGGUGGCUGUCUGGUGGUUUGCAGAUUUGAUGUUAGAUGGAGGGUUUUUGUUGUUGGAUAGUAUGAAUAAGAGCAAGGAGCACGGAUUCUUGGGCUUCAGGAAUUCUAAGAAUUCUUUCGUUAAUUGGAUUGACAAGAUGAAAACUUACAGGAUUGUGCCUUAGAGGAGUGAUAUUCUGUGAAGGUUGUAAUUGUUGUUUGGUGAGUAAAAUGGUUAUUAUGUUUCCUCAAUCAUGAAUCAAUGGUUUUUUUGUCUGACAUUGAAAAAUCUACAGUCUCUUGUCACAUCUGUUUUAUAAAAAUAAAAUUGGGGACUUGUUAAUUUCUGUUUCUUUGUGUUCAUCGGUUCAUCCCGGCUUUUCUUUCAUCUUCCUUGGCAUCGCCAAUCACUUGUAAUAAUUGCACAACAAAACUGAGCUUUUAGAAAAAUACUUUUAUCGGACAGGUGUACAAUUCAUCCCUACCCCUAGCUUUCUAGCUCUAUAUUUUACAUCUCUCCUACUAUGUAUACCAAGGCCCUAAAUAAAUGAAACAAAUAAUGGAGACAUGUCGUCCCAUGCUUGAAAAAUGUUUCUCAUCAGAGAUAUAUACAUCAUUGAUCGUUGAUAGAAACUCUCAGAUGUGUGUGGCAUGCAUAAUUAUUUAAUUACAAUGAAUCUAGCUAUUCAAUUGCAUAACCGAAUGAUCAAUAAGGCAGAAUCAAGCUUUUGUGGUAUUCUUGUGACAAAAUAUUCUGCUUUUUUCGUUUGAGAAGAUGACAAAAUAUAGAAUACUUAUUAAGUACUUGAAAAUACAGAGCUUGAUGAGACAGACAUUGGGGUUCCAACACCUUACCGCCAGCAGGUCCUCAAAAUCAAGAAAGUACUCGAAACAUGGGAUAUGUCGGAUGUUAAGGUAGGGACUGUUGAACAAUUUCAAUGAUAUCAGUGUGUAUUUUGUUGGUUGAAUUUCUCAGGUUUUUAUUUGCUUUCAUGGAAACAAUAGUAUAAAUAUCUGUCAGGACAGAGCUCAUCGUGAUGACAUUGACUGAUGAACAAUUGUUGCCAUCUUGUAUGAUUUGAUCCACAUGAUAGUGUUACAGAGAUCUAUUUAUGGCUUGGCGUUGGUUAAUGAAAAAUCUAAUUCAUCCCACAUCGGAACAGUAUGGGAGUGCAGCUACGACAACAGCUAUAAAUAAUGAGUGCUAAUCAACUGAAAAACAUACUUACCUGGACGGGGUCAAUCGGCGAUCAUGAAGGCCCAUGGCCUAGGUUGGUGGCCUCCAUUGCACUUGGGAGGUGCACCCGCCUAAGGUCAGCCCAAAGUGGUUGAGCCUACGUCAUAAUUUGUGGCAGUGGGGGCCUGCGUUCGCGCGGCCCCCUCCCCAACUCAAUUAAAAAUUUAACUACCUUUGUGCGACAUCGUCUCAACGGCUGUCUUUCAACUUACAAUUAUAUUCUAAGCGAGUUUCAUAAUCCUGAUCAGCCUGAAAAUCGAUUGUACAUUGUCGUCUGGUUGUGACUAGUGCCCUAAGGGUGUCACGGUCAGAUCUCUGCUAAAGUCAAGGCGUAUCUUAGUGUACUUACCUAAUAAGAUCCUAAUUCAGGUUUAUUUUAUUAUUUAAAAAUUGAAAAAAAAAAACUGAAUAAUUAUAUUUGCUCACCUAAAAUUAGUUUUUCUUUAUUUUCUUGUUUAAGAUGUAGGAUUUUAAUAUUUUUUAAUUAUUUAAUAUUAAAUCUUGAUCGAAUUUAGACCUCACUGAGAUUUAGUUAAGAACAUCUCCAAAAACCUCUAUUAAUUUUACUCUUCAAAUAUAUAUUUGUUUACAUAUGUGGUAAAUAAAAGAGUGAAAAAAUAUGUUAUUCUCUAAAAACUCUUCAAAUAGAAAUAAGUUAAUAUUAUUUUAAUCAAAUAAUUAUUUUUUAAAGGAAAAGUUAAUAGCAGUUAAACCACUUCUCUCUCUUUCUCUAAUGAAAAAUAAUAAAAUAUAAAUUGAAGAAGAGAAAUCAACUCUCCAAAUUUGAAGAGAGAGAAUCAUCUUUUAUUUAAAGAAUCUUAAUUGGAGUAUUUUUUAGAGCCUUAAAUAUUGAUGUGGCUCUUCAAAUAAGUAAUAAAAAUUUUAUUUGAAGAGCCUUUUGGUGAUGCUAUAAGGAUUAUUCUCUAUUUUGAAAGUUAAAUUUCCAUCAAAUAAGGUUGUUUGAUGAUUUCUACUUAAAAAAAAAAAAUUCAAGGCAAUUAAAAAUUAUUAUGCAGAAAAUCUGUUAACGGUUUAUAUAUGAAAAAAAAUUAAUCAUAGAUAUUUAUCAUAAAAAUUUCAACCAAUCUCAUGUUAACUUUCUUUUAAAUAAAAAUUUUGCCUAAGACGUAAAAUUUUAUUGCGCCGACCUUAACCCAUAGUUUAGGAUGGAUAGAUUUUGUUGACUUUUUUACCAUAGGUACAAUAUGAGUGCCUUAACUGACUUGGAUCCUUAUUAUCCUACUACGUGUAUGGCCUAAAUUGACUAUAAAUAAAAUGAGCCUGGAAAUGUAUUUAAUAUUCUAAAAGCUUGUCCGAAAUUGGCUACAAACAAAAUAAGAGCAGAAAUGUAGUUAAUAUUCUGAAGUUGGUAGUUGAUUACAAUUUUAAUCAAUCAUUGUUCUCUUUAUUAUCAUAAUUUCUCUCACCCAAUGGAGAAAGACUGUAUAAUCGAGUCCAUUUAGGUGAUGUCGGGGUUCAAGAAAGAUAUUUUAUAUUUUAUCUCAAACGAUGUGUCAUUUAUUAAAUAGUUAAUAAAUUAAUGAAUAUCAAAUCAAUUGUAAUAAUUUUUGGGAUAAAAAAUUAAAAAUAUAUAAAAUUACUCUUUUUAUGCGGAGAUGGAAGCUUGCAAUUUAUCAUGUUCCAAUCUUGAAGACCAUGGAAGAACGUGGACAAAGAUUGAAAAAAAAAUUGUCACUUUGUACCCAAAAAAUAAUUCUAAAGUUUGUUUAAAUGAUCAUACAACACUUAGUUUCAUAAAUGGUUACAUAAAUAUUUUAUUAUUAUUAUAGUAUUAUACCUUUUUGCAACUAUACCCAAAAUUGGUAUAGUAAAUACAAAAUGUCAUUUUCUAUGGAGAGAUAUUUGAGGAUCGCAAAAAAACAAUGCCGACCACCUAAAAAAUAUAGGUACGAAAACUAUAUUUAUUAGAAUACUAUAUUUAAUUAUUUUCAAUCUGUAUUUUUAUCUUUGUAUAUGGUAUAUUGGCUUUUCAAUUCAACCACUCUACGAGUUUCUUUGAGAUUGAGGAUGAACACUAUAAGUAGAUUAUUUUAUAAGUUUUUACAAAAAUGAUAUUUGGUAAAUUUUCUAAAAACUGCUCAUUUAAGAAGUUUCUAUAUUUUAACAACAGCUUUUAAAAGUAUAUAUGAGAUUGCACAUAAACUUUUCCUAUUUUGAGUUCUUAUCUUUUUUAUAAGCAACUUAUUAGACAAGUCAUCACAACUAAUAUUAAUAUUUUAACAAAAUAACAAUUCUGUCUUGUUUUUUAAAUAAAUCCUAAUAUAUAAAUAAAAGAUAGUUUAAACUAACAUUUAUAGUUUAAACUAACAUUUAUUUCAAUCUUUAUAUAAUAAAACAAUCGUUUCACAAUAAAAUUUAACAAUUACAUAUAUUUUACUUUUCAAUCUUAUAGCAACUACAACAAUACAAUAAAUUAAACACGAAACUACUUAGUCAGCAACUUAUUUCUAGUCGCUUAUCAGCCACCGCAAUCUCAUAACUGGUGCUAAGCCAUUGUAAUAAUUCACCUACAACAAUCAAAACUCUGAUAGGAACUAGGCAACAACAUCGUUUAUUAAUUAGUAUAUAUUAACAAUCAAUGAAAAUAAUAAGUCUUGGGCCAUGACUGAUAACCCGCUUUAAACAAUUUUCAUAAAACCCAAAAGUCAAAACAUAGAGGCAUGAGUGUUGUUGAAUCGUGGAGUGAAAAAAACUAUCAAAUUCAUCUUUUCGAGCUAAAAAGCCAAACAAAUGCCGAGGGCGGAGCUAAGAAUUUAUGGUGCGUUUACUUUAAUGAGGUGGAAUAGUAAUGAGAAUGGGUUAGAAUGGAAAUGAGAAAUGUGAAUGAAUUCAAAUGUUUAUUUGGCAAAAAUAAAUGGGAAUGAGAAUGUGUUAGAAUGUCAUUAAUGUGUUUACUUGACAAAAUAAAUGGGAAUGAGGAAUGAGAAUAAGAAAUGGGAAUGAGGAAUGGGGAUGAGAAUUAAUUUACCAAAAUACCCAUAGCAUUAAAUAAUGUAAUUUUCAUUAACUAGAUACAUGUAUAAAUAUUAUUAUAAAAAUGAUAUUAAGUAUAAAUAUUAUUAUAAAAAUGAUAUUAAUUAAAAAAUAAAAAUAAUAAAAAUAAAUGUUAAUAACGAUAAUAUUAAUAAAAAUAAUUAAUAAUAACUAAAAUAAUAAAGUUAAUAAAAUCUAAUAAUAAUAAUAAUAAUGACAUUUAAAAUAAUAAAAUUAAUUGUGAUUUGAACGAGAGUAAUUCAAGAAAUAUGAAAAAAAAUUAAAGGGAUACAAAAAUCAGUUCAGGGAAUGAGAGUCCCCAUUACCAACUCCCCAUGAGAAUGAGAUUCUUAUUUCUUAUUCUCAUUCUCAAAUUACAUUUUGCCAAGUAAUACAUGUGUUUCAUUUAUAUUCAUUCAUUCUCAUUCCCUAAACCCUCAAGUAAACACAUCAUUAAUUUAACCGGAGUCAUAAUAGAGGAAUUAAAAAAUUGACUAGGUUAUAGCAUAAAAUUUAUAAAAUUGAAGAGGCAUUAAAAUGGAGAUUAUAAUAGUUAAAUUUAAAUCAUAAAAUUUAGUAUACCAUAAAAAAGGUCAAAGAUAUAUAUAUUUUUAAAACAUGCAUGCAUCCAUGGUUCCGCCACGGUCAUACCCUAACGCAAACUUAAGACCGGUCUUAACAACGCCAGGUUUUUAAAGGGAGAUGGAGGAAAGAAAGAAAUACUCACUUGAUUCGAGUGCCCUCAAAGCCCCCUUAGACUUGACUCAUGAAUCAGUAGUUACAAGUGAUCGCGUGGAAAUUGUCAACUUGCUGGGCUAAUUAUGCAAUAAUCGUUACGUGUUGUUAUAAACUUAUAGUCAACGCAAAUAAGUUGUUGUAUCAGUUAACAAAUUAUUCUAAUUAAUUUUAAGAAAACAUUUAUAUCCUAAAUUGUUUCAUAAUUUGAAUUGGUCAUCAUCAACUAGCAAAUAAUUAAGAGUCAUCAAUAUUUGAAAUGGUAAGAUGUUAAUAGCGAUAAAACCGAGCACGAUUAAUAUUAUAAAAAAAAAGCACAUAACAUGAUGGAUAAUAAUACCAGCAAGAAAGAUCAAUUAUCUCAGAUUAUUAUAAUAAAAUCAGAAAGGUAGUGGCCCAGCAGGGCCAAGUGGGCGACCAACUUUGGCCCGCAGCAGGUCAGGUCCGUUGAAGGAUAAAGACGGGAGUAUCAAAAUGAAGUGACUGCCCGAGAUUUCAUUUAGCCAUGAUCCUGAUCACGAUCCUAAUCAUGAUCAAGGAGACAAUUAAAUAUAAUUAAGUGGGGUAUGUAUGAAUGGUUAAGGAUUAGAAAGUAUGAACUGGUAAGCAAAGGCAAAUGAAAAGAAGAAAUUGAGAAGAAACAUCAACGUCGAUGUACAAUUAUGUAUUAAUUGUAGUGGAUGACUUAUCUUUUUUUUUUUUUUUUUUUUUUCUUUCUCCCCCACCUCCUAAAGUCGGAAAACGCCAACAUUAUGCAUGGUUUGCACAUGGACUCCAUGUCUCUUUCAUGUUUUGUUUAAGAAUGAAACUCAAAUGAGGACAUCCACAUGAGUAUGACAAGUUAUUUAUGAGACAAUCGAGAAAUUGUCAAGUCAGCAUCUUUCAUGCUGGUUAAGUCAGAUAUUGAACGGUACGACAUCAAUUAUUUGUAAGGCUAUGGUUAUCUUUGAGUUAGCUCCAACGUGAAGUAUUCAUUCACAAUCACAUAAUUAAAAUAAUAAAUAAUAAAAGGCACGUAAUAAUUUUGUGUGUGUGGUUGUGAAGGAGUACUUUACCGUAGAGUAUCUUCAACAUAACCGAAAUCUAUUUGUAAAUAUUAUGUAUAAAUAAUAUUUUUUAAAUUUAACAUACUUGUGUUAAAUGUAUAAAAUUUGAAAUUUUAUUAAUUUUAGAUUUUUUCUAAAAAAAUUUAUUUGUUUUUAGUAACUUAUGUUUGAUUUUUAGACAUUUGUAUCUAAAUAUAAAAAAUAAACUUUUGUGACUUUUAUCUGAAUAAAAAAAUAUUUAAACAAGAAGUAAAUAUUAUAUUUCAAAAAUAUCUUUAUAAAAUAUGAUUAAAUUAAGUACGAAAUUAAAAAUGAUAUUAAUUAUUCAUGGAUCAUAAAUCUUUGGAGAUCUCUUGUUAUUAUUUAUAAAAGGGAUGGAUAUUCCUCAAGUAAUUCUGACAGAGAUGGAAACAUAUACAAAUCAAGAAUGGGUACGAAGAUAUCGAUCUUCUCUUCUCCUCUCCCCAUUACAAUUUAAGGUUUAAACGAUAAAGGAAGCAUGCCGUUUUUAUCAUGAUUAAGUAAGGACGCGUGUCACACGCGCGAUCAAGCUUUGGAAAAUCAAUUGUGUUGGUUUGGUCUUGGAAAACCUUCGUUCUACCCUCUCUUUUGUUUCAAAGACUCGUAACGAGCAAAACUUACUUGGAAACCCUUGUACUACAAAAAUAGAAGUCAUGUUUGUUGGAUAGAUUUCCAGCUAUGUAUUGCAAUGUUGUUUGUUAAUAGCAAAUGAAUAAUUAAACGAUUUUACGUCAUUCUCAAACUUCAAUAAAAUUGAGCACGUAUACAAAAUAAAACUGAUCAAUAUUUCAACUUUCGAAGAUCAACAUGAUCUAUAAUACAUAGCAACUAACAAUACAUAAAUAUCCCCAAGGACGUGAUUGGAUUAGUUGUAGUACAGCUGUAACCUCUAUCAAAAUCCGGAUUCAAUUUUUAGGGGUGGUAAGGAGGGUAAAACAUUGUAUUUGGGUUUGCACACUCUCCUUAACUUUUUUUUAAAAUAAAAAAAAAUUACAGAAAGAUAGCUACCAAUACAUAAGAGAUCGAUGAAUUAAGAUUAAAAAAUCAGAAGGGUGGGGUUCCACUUGGGCCAAGGGGCCCACCGACCAUUGGUCUGCAGUAGCUUUAAAAAAUGCAGCACAUAAAUACUACCACAAUAAUUAAUAAUGCCCGAAAUAAGUACAAAAAAAAAAAUCAAAACUUCUAUUUGUAGGGAUAGCGAUGGAUCGGUUCGGUUCGAUUCGGUUUGCUUAUGUAUUAAACUAAACCGAUCAGUUUUUGCCCAAUAUAUAAACCAAAUUGAAUUGGUUCGGUUUGAUUUUUAUAUUUUUUUAGUUUUUUCAGCUUUCGAUUUUUUUUAACCAAUAAGUUUUUAUUAAUUUUUUAAAUCAAACCAAAUUGGAUUGAACCAAAUCACCGGUUCAAUUCAAUUUUUUCUUGGCAUCAUUUUUUAUACCCACCCCUAAUUUUUGGUACCACCCAAUUCAAUUAAAGUUACCAUAAACAAAUAAGACAGAGAAUACCACCAAAAAAAAAAAAAAAUGCAAAGUCUCGGCCCUCCUGACAGCAAACCCCAGCCUGGCGGCAUCUCCUUAUCUCUCCCUAAUUAGAGCUUUCUUUAUUUUCGUUUCCUUAGAAAUGCAAUGCAAGGAUAUAUAUAUAUAUAUAUAUAUAUACGCUGAUGGUUAUUGAUCAAGCAGAUGUAGAAAAUAUAUAGUGGUGUCUAUGUGUGUAGAUUCAAGAAAGCUUAAUGGUUAUGGAUUAGAAUUGUGGACUAGCAAAUGGAGAAGGUAAAUGGAAUUUGUUUAAAUGUAUAUGCUAGGGAACUUUUAUUUACACAGCCUGAUGUUCCAUUCCGAUAAUGAAAGACUAGUAAGUAGAAAGAACCAUUUACAUAUGGUUCAUGCAGUGCAUGUUCUAUCUCGAAAUUACACCAAUUAAGCGCAAUAUGAAUUCAUGACAAUUCGAUAGGAUACAGGGGAGUCAAUUUGAUGAAAAGAUGAACAAAAGAAUGUAAAACAAAACGUAAAUUCAAAUUUCUCGGUUUGCGCUUCAUAUAUGCAUUAAACACAGAACACUUCUAAGUUCUUUGUACGUUAAUAUUUGCAACCAAUCGCUCUAUCAACAAUUAAACGACUCUUGAUAUAUAUAUAUUAAUAUUAUUCGAAGAAUUUGAGUUUCUCUGCUGCAAACAAUAAUGUUUGGCAAACGUAGGACAUUAUAUUUAUUUGUAGGAUGAUUUAUAACAAGAGAUUUCUUAUACAUAUUUUAGCUUUCCUUUUGCUAUUGUAGCUGUCUUACUAUUUUGAGGGGUAAGGUUCAUUAUGUCUCCCCCAACUAGGUAUAAAUUAUUUUUGGUUCUCAAUAAAAUUACCUCGCUCAAGUUUUAUUAAAAAAAAUUGUCUAUUUAGUUAUUUUUUAUUGUUAGGAGGUCCGUCAAAACUUAAAUCGAUCUUUUUAACCCCCCGUCUCUCCAAACUAUUUGAAAACUACUUGAUCUAAGUCCAGGACUUUAAUUCCAACAUAUCUUGAUAAUAUAAUAUGAGUAAUAAAUUGACACUUACUUGCAAUUAAUUUAAUUAUUAAAAGAUGUCACACGAUUUUGAUGAUUGAUAAACCACAAAGUUAAAUAACACUAUACACAUCAUAAUUAAUGAUAUGUGAAACAAUGAUUUGAGACAAACUAUAUUAACCCCAGUUACGUAAAUGUAAUAUAAUAAAUUAUUAUCGUACAUUAUAUUUCGAAUCCAUCCUUUACACCGUAAGAUCGAAUUAAAAAGUACCAAAUAAUUAAAUUAAUGGUUAAUUAGCAUCAUUUUCAUCCGAUUAAGCUUUCAUAAAAUAACAAUGAACAAAACCAUCCAAUAACUCAUAAAUAAUAAAUCAUAAUUAACUAUCUUAAACAAAUUCCUUAACAAUUAAAACUACUGUCUUCAUUGCAUAAGCAACAUCAGAGUAAAAGUAAAGCAGUACACAGAACUCUAUGACAAGGUGGCAAUUGGCAUGCAAGAUGAUCACGGAGGUGGUGGGCCGAGAUCAGCUGGGCCAGGAGGUCCAGGUGGGCCCAUUGGACCACCAAGGCAGCCUUGUAGCAACCAGCAGCAGUCAUAACAGACCCAACGACAAGCAAUCAAAUACCAGUAUUAGCUUUUCAGCCACUAAAGAAUCAUUUUUGUCAGUACGUCAAUUUUUUCGUGAUUGUUCAGCUGCAUCUAAAGUUCCCAUUUUGACACGUGUCAGUGUAUCUUAUAGAACACUUCAACGGUGGGAAUGGGACUCAAGUCUAAAAGAACAGCAGAUGGAGAAUUUUGAUUUUUGAAAACCUCAACAUCUAAAUUCGAUGUUUAAUUACUUUCCAUGAACCGAUAACUUCACAAAAGCCACCGAAAGAGUCCGGCGGUCCAAGUAGUGGUGGACCCCACGCAGGUGGCCCUCCAGGUCCUCCCGGUCCCAUUGCUAUUUGUUGAUUACUGUUGCCGGCUCUUUAAGCAAAGUUAGUUAACACCAAGGAAAUUAACAAGAGACUUUCAGAAGUCCAAACUCGCUCUUGCUUGUGUAUAUAGAGAUGCAAAAUGUUUUUAUGUUAAAUGAAAGUGGUACAAAUGCCAGAAGGUUUCUUGUGUUUAUAGAAAGUGCAUGCUUAGGAUUUAAGCAUCCAUCUUUGUUGUCACAUUUGCAUCUAACACUUUCCAACUGGCUAGACUUCUAUAUCUACAUUGAGAAAUGAGAAUGAUAGCAUUUACCCAUCAAAUGCUCAUUCAAUAAAUCAUCUUACCACAUGCACUUUCAUUUUUAUAAUUAACAAUCACAAUAGUGAUUUUGAUAAUUCAAGUGUUAAUCUCUGCAGUUAAAACCUACUAACAACAGUUAAAACUUACUAACAACCUAUGGAGGAUUUGUAUCCUACAGAUAUGACAGAGUGAUUUUUAAAUAAUUUUAUUUGAUUGGCUAGUCGGCUUCAAAUCUUAAGAGAAAUAAGGGACUUAAACAAAAUGAAUUUAGUCAAAAUGAAUCUGAACUUUACUCACCGCAUUGGAAAAAAAAAAAAAAACUACAAAAGGUUUAUUGACAAGAAUCUUCAGUGAUAAUCAAUUAGAUCAUAUUUUACUUUCCAGAAGAUGAUAUGUCUCAAAGAGGUUUAAGCCAAGAAAUUUCAAAAACGCAACAACAGAUGAACGGGUGUGAUUAGAAGUGCCACAGAGAAAUGAAAAGAAUACUAUAACUAAUACAUCUAUAAAUCUCAUUUCCAUGAUGACAGUAGCAGUGGGUUACCAAACCCAAUUGAAUUAUAUAUAUAUAUUUACUCGAAAAUUAGGUUAGAGGGAAAACUGAUUAUACAAAUUGUAUAGAAAAAUGGCCAAAAAAGCCGCCUUUCGCCUCUGUAUAUGUCAUGUUAACUAGUAUUCUCUUCCAGAUAAUUCAUCCCUAUACAACUCUGCAAAUCACAAGAAUCCUUCACGAAAUGGCCGCCAAUCCAAUAGAUUCCCCCUCUUCAGUUCUGCUUUCUGGGGCAUUAUCUGAGCUGCGUGGCCUUGCUGAAAAGAGAAUGCAACAGACUAGUAAGUAGACUGCAUUUGAAGAAUUGCAGAUUCGCUUGAAUUGAAAAUAAAAAUUAAGGCAUUUAUUAAAAUGGCUCUUAGAACAGCUUAAGGGCUAGUAUGGGCAGAUUAGUCAAAGGAUGGAAGAGAAAUUAUGCAAGAAUGCUUACUUGAAACAUUUGUGAUAACAUUAACACUUUUCUGAGCAGCAAGAGCUUUCAAAUUGUUCCCAGUACCUAAUACAAGCAAGCUCCUCAUAUGUUGCUUUUGUUCCCUAGGACUAGCUGUCUUCGUUAAAGCAUCUUCAAAAGCUAGCAAAUCUUGUGGGGUAAUACAAGGGAGAGAGAGUAGAACCUGAAAAAACCCGAGGGGGAAAAAAAAAAAAAAAGAAUACUUCCAUCAACAGGUUGAGCAACUACAACAAUAAAAGCUUAUCCCAGACUCACAAUCCGCAAGUUAUACAAACUUUUAAUUAAAACAUGGUGAAUUAUAGAACUAACCUGUCUCGGAGCAGGAUCUCUAUCACACAUAUAUAUGAAUAUCUCACGACAAAGACCAACCAGAUCAGCACUAAUAACAGCAUUUGACUCAAGGGCGAGACCUCGGAUAAUAGCAGAAAACAGAUCUUUCGAAACAAACUGCCGGAGUUCUAUAUUAUUUGAUUGUAUCGCUAGAAGAACCACAGCAGAACAAAAGGAAGAAACUUUUGUCACAGCUUCACCGUCUGUCCACGUGAAAGCUUCUAAAGAAAUCUGCAAUGCUGGAAGGGCAAGGUCUUUGUGCUUCAAGAGGAAACUGUAAAUGAAUUACAAUUAUCAGCCAAUAACGCAAUAUGACAACAUAGAUGUAAAAAUACUCCAAUAAAUACAAAGAAAAGGCUAUUCUUGUAAGAAACAGUAUGUAUGCCACAUACCCAACCAUAGAGUUCGAUGCAAAAGCAUCUAGAUCUUUCAGAGACAAAACGUCCACACGGUAAAAAUGCCCUGACUGUUCUAUUGGAGGAAUCCCAUUAUUUAAUCCUGACGAGGCCAUAGUAGAGAGAAGUGAACAUAUCUCACGAGUCAGAUCCCGAAGCAGUUUCUCUUCCAUUACUUCUACUUUCAAGUCAGACCCAGCAACUAUGCCAUGGAUGUCUGGAACCUUUGCUCGACCUUCAUGCAUAAGACUGGACCAAGAGCUGCUAAGAACUUGUUGACAGUGGAUAAAUAAUGGGUUCAGGAGCUUUUCCAGCCAGAACUCCCACAUAUCUAGGGGACAAAAUUUAACCAUAUGGAUUAAAACUGAAUGAACAAGCUGCCUUAUAUGCCUGAACUCCAUCGACUGUAUGUUCUCCAUCAGUGCCACGACAACUGAACCAGAGUCCAAAGAUUUAAAAAAUGGAUCUCCAAUGGUUGCUGAUAGUCCAAGUACAUUGUACCUGUGUGAGCAAAUUAAUGAUAAAAAAGGUAAUCGGGGAACAAGAAGGCUAAGGAGUUAAUAGUGAAUAUCCAAUAACGUCCUUCAUGUUUUUUCUUCAACUCUUUUAAGACUAAACUUUGCUUCUUACAUUGUAAACUGAUCAAGCAUCGCUUACAUACAGCCAAUACAUCAAUAUAUCUAUGAUAUUCACAUUGUUAAAGUUUAGGAGAUUAUAAUUAAACCCAGUCGUUAACUCAUUGCAGAGAAAGAUAUUAUCCUCCCAGAAGUAUUAAACAAACUAAUAACUAACUGUUUUUUUUUUUUCUUUAUGUAGUUUUUCUCUUUGGAAGAAAGUAAAUUACAAAAGGGUUUUCUUAGUAUAUAAAUGGCUUGGGUGGAAUGUAUGAUGGUAAAUUUCUUUUAAUUGAUCUGCACCAAAAUACAUACAAAACAACACUUCUAGUUUCCAAGCUAAAACCAUACUUACCCACUAUCUCUGACACCUUUUAACCAAUUACGUAUAUCAGAUUCAUUAGGCUCUCCAUAUCCUUCCUUACUUGUGUCCAACUGGGAACCAUCUGCAAAAGCUACUGCACCCUUUGAAAAUUUUGGGUUACCUUCCCCAAGAAGACUGAACUGCUCAGCAUCGCUCAUGGUCAUAGCUGCUUUUAUCUCUCCAGGCAAUAAUUGCGAUAUAGAUGGAGACCAGAUGGAAUGUAUAGCGCGAAGCAGCUAAAGAUGAAAAAUAAAAGUAAAAAAUGCUUACUACAUUGUGUUCAUCAAGAAAUGUUGUCACUUCAGAAGGCUUCUUGGUAAUUUUAAAGCGCUAUGGAGAUAAGGAAAUUCCAAAUGUCAGAAAUAAGAAGGAAUUACUUACUUUUAGGAGAGGAGGCAGCAUCCAUGAAAGAUGAGAAGCCAUUGGAUGCAUAACAGCAGAAUUUUCUGCGGAGCUGCUCUGUAAAUUCAAAUUGGCUUUUCUAAUUCCACUUCUCUUGAGUGCCCUUUCAAAGAAUGUCACGGUGUGAAAAAGUGACCACAUAAAUGAAGUAUCAGAGCACAAACGGACAAGUCCAAGUGGUUCAGACAAAUAAUUAUUUUGCCACUCAAGCUGCAUCCAUUGUUGGCUCAAAGGUUCAAGUAACCAGGCCAAAACUUCUUGUUGCUGUUGAAUCCUGCACCAAGUUGAAAAUUUAACAGGAAUCAAGAGAACUGCCAUAGACAUAGAUAAAAUGUCAGCUUAUGAUAAAUAAGUAAUUACCCAGCAGCAGAAGCCAUAACAAGAAAUGCUUCACCUAGAAGAUUAUGUUCACCACGAAGUAAACGACCUUCUCUUUGCAAAUAAGCCAUAGUGUCAGCAAUAUCCUGUAUAGAAAACAAUUAAGAUAAUGUUAACCAGAUAUCUCGCAGAAAAUCUUCGCUGUCACACUUUUGAUGACUACAGGUUUUCAUGACAUUACCCGUUUAUGGGAUGGCACAUUAUUAUAGCUAUUAGUGAUUUCACAAUAAUGUAUUUACAGUAAUUUCCUAUCUUGGAACUAUUUUAUCUCCAGUCCUCCAAUGCUUCUUUAGGUGCUGUUCUAUGUUUAAGAUAGUAGAUCCUGUAGAAAAGUUAUCUAUCAAUUGCCAAUGAAUCUUUGGAUAGCAUAAGAGAGGAUCGGUAUUAGCAUAUCAGAAUCUAGUUGCAAUUGAAAACCUUAUAUCCGGUCACAUACGCAUGAAUAAGUUCCAUGGGUUUUGUUUGGUCCCACUAGAUUAGGAUAAAUGCUAUCUAAGUAAUCAAACUGAUGAGCAUAAUCAGAUGUCAUAUAAGAAAACAAAAACUUACCUUCAUAUGAGGUAGGAUGCUUUUAUCAGACGUUUUGGCUAUUCUAAUAAAUGAUGUACAUAUCUGUAACCUUGCAUGUCGUGCACUAUUCGUUGAAGGAUCCUGCCAAGCAAACAAAAGGUUGGUAAUGGAAAGAAAAUUUAGAUCAUCAAUAAAUAGAAAUGAAGACAAAAAUUGAAGCUCAUUGAAAGAGAGAGAGAGAGAGAGAGAGAGAGAGAGAGAGAUGACCUUGAAAACAAAAGGAAGUGAGGUUAGAAGCUCAAAUAAUUUGCUGAUGACACCACCGACAGCAUCAGGGUAGUAUUUCAAAAAGGGACCCAAUGCAUCUAAAUAGUGCCCUAGAGCUACGACAAGGGGUGGCUCAGUCCAUUUCAGAGAAAGAAGUUGAUGAAGUAAACCUUCAAAUCAGAGCAACCAAACUAUUUUCAGCAGAACCAGAAAAGUAAAAGUCUGAAAUUUUUUAUCAGAUACAUAGAAAUCACAAAGAAACCUUCAAAUAUUCUGGACAGUGCAAGUGGAACCUCAGAAGUGGCCCCACCAAAUUGAUUUGACCCAUCAAAAACUGCACUGACAACAUUUUCUAGAGCUGAUUGCAUGCUUUCCAUUACAGCUAAAUCCUGCACUUCAGAAAAUAAGCGUUUAAAUUGAAACUCAAUCUUCCACACUAGGAAAUCUAAUAGCUAGGACCCAUGAAUUGAUUCCAAAUAAGCAUUUGCCAUCAAACCUGAGCAGGCAUUGUAGAAAUCAAGAGACUAUUAAUGAUUGCCAUAACUCUUUCAGAUACUUUAACACCAGCUACAAGGGGCUUGUUAGAAGCAACAAAUUUGACCAGCUCCAACUGCAUCAAGUAACAUAUCAGCAAAAAUUUGGUGAAAAUGUAAACUAAAUCAGCAUAAAGAUAUACAGAUAGCACUUGCAUGACGUAAGACUGUUGAGCAAUGGACAAGCAUUAAACUACAGCUGAUAACUCCCAAUGUGGAAAUGUAAACUGAAAUGAAAUGGAAAGGCUUAUACUGACAUUGUCCACUGGUGUGCAUAAUAUUAAUAAUUAUUCGUCUGAUUCAGUACUGAAAUAUGUGCAACACAAUUAAUUGCUCUCCUAAGGUGUAGAUAUCAUAAUUCAGUGAGUUAAUAUGUCUAUGAUUGAGCAAAAUUCGGAGGGUGCUGUGACAUCUUUCUUCAUCAAAUUGAUGCUACUGCCAAAGAAAUAAAAUAAAACUGGUAACACCAGUCCAAAGAACGUGCAAGUCGAGGCCCAUGGUCCAACAAAGCCGAUAUCUAUAUAUAACUUGAAUGUCUUGCAAACUUUCAUUAAAUAGAAGAAAGAAUGUGAAGAGUGCAGGAGCAAGACAACAGACAAAGCUAACAAAUUCCUAAUAGUUAAACUUCCACAUCAGAAGGAUAUUAAUGUAAGACGCAAAAAAUUGAAAACCUCCAAGCCUAUAAUCCAUGUAAAACAUACCAGCCUAGAUCGAUACUGGCUGAAAUCGCCCUUGCCUUCAAAAUCAUCACUCCACAACUCCAAAGGCCCUUGUGUUCCAGGAGCUUUCUCUCUCUUGACUAAGCGCUGGAAAGAUAUAUCAAGAAUUGCACCACUUAUAUCAUCAUUCAAAAAACUUAAAAUCCUCAUCUUUCGACUAUCAACCUUCCCAGAACCAGAGUCCGCAUUAUUAACAGUUGAUCCAUCUCCAGUUGAAUGUGCAACUUUUGUCUUUGACAUCAAAUCUCUCAUUAGUGCCUGCAAAAGAAAGCAAAAAGAGAAAUGUUAAAAGGCAGCUAUGUGAUAUCCCUCUGAUGAAAUACAAUAAUUUGAAUAAGUUUUUGCAUACCAGCCAAAACAACAACGAUUGAAAAUGAAGGGCUAUCUUGAAAUGUUGAAAGUAGCCCAGCAUCUGGAAGGACAUCAAAACAUUAAAGAAGAUGUUAAUUGAAUUAAUAUAUGUCAAGAAAAAAAAUUAAAUGUUGAGCGAAGAUGAGCAAGAUUAGAUGUCAGUUCCUCCACAAUGGCUUUGCCUUCAAAAUAUGUUUGUGUUGCCUAAACAUCAUAACUGAAUCCACAUGGCCUUUAUGGCCCAUUAUUAAACGUCUUGGGCAAUAAGAAGCAUAAAGUUAGACAAAAGAAUCCCCUUCCGUCUUCUCUUUUUAAUGACUUUUUUUUUUCCCUUAAACUUUUAUUUUUUUGUAAAAUAUGAAAUUACGAGUUUAAUAUGAGCUUCAGAUGCACAAUCACAAGCAGCUACAAUAGUAAAGACAUAAGAAAUGCAGGGGUAGAGAUGGAACUAAGAAAAUUUUCAGAGUAAAUUCACAUAUUUCAUACCCAAACCUUGUGAUGCAGGGAUAAGGUAAAGAAGAAAGACAUCUGCAAUGCAGCUUAAGUUAUAAGGAUUGAGACAUCAAUGUACCGGUCAGAUGCAUGUAAUUUCCGUUCUGAACCAGGAUAGCUUUGCUUAAGUGAACAAAGUAAUGGCAGCAGAAAAAGGAUCCAGUGAAGAUGUGAACUCUAAGAGCAAUUAUACAAAACUAAGGAUACGACAGAUGAUAUGGGAGAUUCUAAAGGAUAAGCUUUCAGCAAAAAGCCUUGAAUCAGAUGCCCAAUCAGCUUUAAGUGAUUCCAGAGGAGGUGUGGGCUAUACGAAUUACCUGCUGUAGGUACAUCGACAGUAUGGUGUCUUCCCUCGCAAUACAAUGCAAGUUUGAAGUACCCAAAGACACCAUGCUCUCGCAUAUAUAUUCAGCAAACUCAAACUCACUUUCAUCUAUAGCUCCAGCACUUGUCCCAGAUCUGUACAAAAAUUCUCCGGAGACUUUCAUCAGGAUCUGAAAGACAUCAUGCAUAGCAGACUCAAACUCAGAUGCGGAGGCAUCAGCAGGUCCCUUUCUGCAAUUUCACAUUGAGAACAUACAGUAUUCAUAAGAAUGCUCAGACAAGGAAAAUAAAAUAAGUUAACAGCAUACAAGAUUUAGUAUCUACCUUGGUGAGACAAGUUUGAAAAACUCGCAAGCAUGAAGACGGAAGUCUGGUGAUGAAAGUAAGAAACCACAACUGAUAUGAUAGAGAGAGGGUAAGAAACCAAUCCAGAACAAUAACUUGAAAUAAUAAGGCCGGAACGUUCAAAGAAAGGUUAUCUUACCCAUGAAUGAUACCAUAUUUAGCGAGAUCGGGCAAAGGAGCCCACUCAGCAUAUGCAUUUAUAGCAUUUAAAGUAGCUGUUACUGUAGCUGCAUGUUGUUUUGCAACGUCCAAUUGUUGCCUACCAACUUCACUUAAUGCAGCUCCAAAAUGCCUUUCUAGUAACUGUAUCAAGAAUUUAGGCAUUAGAAUAAUGCUAAAACAUUUUAACUUGUAGUGAAUGCAAAGAGUGAUCAUACACUGUACAGUAAAGGCAAAAUUUCGGGCAAGGAUUGAGUAAGGCCUCGCAACAGUAGCCUACGUCGAUCACCUGGUUAACACAUUCAAAAUCAUGUGAAGAGAAGGAAACAACUAUAUAAAUAUCAAACAAAGGCAUUCACAAAAAUCUUCCUCCAAAUAAGAACAGUAAAAGUAUGAUGGGAUAAAAGAAGCAUUAAAGAAGAAAGAGAACCCCACUACACUAAGGCUUUAAUUGGUAGGAAAAAAAAGAAGGGGACCAUAAAGGAAGGGAGAAUGAUGGUUUAACUUGUUUUGUACGAUCACAAAAGGAGUAGAUGGAAAAUGGGGGAGGGAUCCAUUUUACACCCUCACUCUCAGUUUCCAAUUCUCCCUAAUUAGAUGGAAAAGGGUGAGGACAUUAGAACUUAUGAAAAAUGCCGCAAUCUGAGAAAUUUCCCUCAUCCCUUCAGUUUUCCACCAUUUUUACCAAACAGACAGAAGGAAACACUUUUCUUCCAUUUUUUUUUUCUUACUUUCUAUCCCUUCAACCAACCAAGGCCUGAUCAUUAAACAUAAAUUUAAAAAAAAAAAAAAAGGACAUUCCACACGUACAAUUAGGAUUCAGAUGUCCAGAAAUUCAACUAGUUUAACCAUUACAAGUUAGCAUUCCUAGAUAGAGUUUCCAAAGAACAAAAUAUUCAUUCCAGCACACAUAGCAAAGAGUAUAGCCAAGGUAUUUCACCACAAACCUUCCAAAUCUUCAUUGUGGACAGUAAUAUCUUCAGGAAGCCACCUUAGCAUCAUGGAAACCAACUCAGCCUGAUAUAAAGAGGGAUGGGUAAAACCAAUUCAGUAUAAGUACCUUUAACGUAUUAGAAAGCAAAAUGGUUUCUUUAAAGUAGGAUAAGUUGAUAUACCUGAAUUGGACCCUUGCUGGAGAGGGUAGCUAGAGAAGGAAACAGCUCUUGCCAAAGAUUUAUGCCUUCUCUUCUAACUAUCUAUAAGAAUGAAAACAAAUAAGUACUGCAACUUGAAAACUGUCAUCGCCAUAGAAAUAGCUUAAACAGCAGUUGAGAAUGGUGGGAUGAAAACCUCUGCGACAAGGGCAGCUGUCUGACUUUUCAAAGCCCAUUCUUCACAAGGAUCUGCAAUCUCAGACAUCAAAUCAACUGCGACAUUUGCAAACUCCCCACGUUCUGUAGGAUUCAAUUCAUCCCACCUUAAUCUGACCAAAUGCUGUAGAAAGAUAGAUAUGUUAUAGUCACGUCACUCAAUUUAUCCUCAAACUUUACAACUCAUAAGAAUACAAACGCUAAUUUUCAAAAAUCAAAUAGCUGGAACCUAAUAUUCAUAUCAAGUGAGCAAUACAACCUCUUUCGAUAGAAAGGAACAAAAAGCCAGAUUUCUGUUUUUUCGGAUGAUUGCAUUUGUUCUUUAAGAUUAGGCCAUUAGGAAACAAAAAACAAAAAGACAUCAUAUUGAUCAAUAAAACAUUGUUCGGUAUGGGUUCAAUGGUAUCUAUUUGUCCCACAUCCACAUUGUAGAAAUAUAGAAGAGUCUCCUCCUACAAGAGACAGCGCUUUGAAAAGUUUCCGCCGACCCUUAUAACAGUGUAGUUGGAAGGACAUAUUCAAAAGCAUAUUACUGAUUUUACAGAUGAUUCUAACAUAAGAUGAGUCAGACAUCAAUGAUAACAUCUUAAAACAUAAGAUGAGUCCCAUCAAUAUCAAGUUCACAAUUUGGAUGGGCUAGAUCCAUGGCAAAGACAAGGUAAAGGAAUAUCUGCAUGAACCUGGAGCAUUUUAAAUGCAUGUAAUCGGAUUUCAGAAGACCAAUUCUUUUUGACCAGAAGGAAAGAUGUACUUGCCAAAAACCGUAUAUCUCCAGUUUUCACCUGAAAAUAUAAGAAAGCAAAUAAGUAUCAUUUCAAAAAUAAACUUUGGACAACAAAAAUUGAAAAACAAUAAUUCAGCCUUUACAAAAGGUCAAUGAUUAUAUGCUAUUUUUCAAUCGCGUUUAGAACUACAGAUCCUGAUAUCAUGCACAAGAGUGACCCUCAAGAAUCAACAAUCUAACCAAAGCUAAAUUUCAACAGCAACAAUGCAUGUGAAUGACUAUAGAAGUCCAAUUACUUGUACCCUUCCAUUUAAAGCCUAAAACUGAGUCAAAUACUAAUUGCCCUCACAAAAAGCUCACAUCUUUGCUCCUUCUUAAGAACCUCAAAUCGUAGUAACCCAACUUUCUUUCUUUUACAAACCCUACAAAUCAAUCAAAAUACCAUUUUUCCCAGCCAAAAAACCAUAAUACCAACUAUUUAGCCCAGUCACCAGACCCAUUUUGCCUAAGGCCUUCAAAUCAAUCAACCUAACAGUAAUCUUCAAAAUUACAACAUUUCAAGCAAUCCCAUAUCCAUCAAAUUCUCAAACUUUAGCAGAAUACCAUAAUUUCCCAAGUACUCUUUUUUCUAAAUCCCUCAAACUCAAUCAAAUUUAAACCAAUAAAACUCAAUCAAAUUUAAACUAAUAAUUCAAAAGAUUUAACACUUGUUAGCAUCCCAAAUCAACAAAAGCAUCUUCUGAUCAGAGCAUGUACAUAUAAACUAAAAGAACCAAAUUAUAUUUAUACAUAUAGCAAAGACCAUAAAAGAAAAAAAAUAAGUACGGAUUCAAGAUAAGAGACAGCGGCUUUGCGAGCUUCAGGAGCAGAGUUCCAGUCAAGGGCAGCGGCAAUAGCCCGAGCCACAUUGCUUGCUGGGUUAUUAGUAUCCUCCAUCACUAAUACUAUUCACUUCCGUUUCUGGGUUUGAUUAUUUAUUUAUUGUCUUUUUGCUUGGAAGAUGAAGAGAAUGAGGCUCUUGUGAAGCUUUCGUUGAUUUUGUAGAGGGAGAAUAAAAAAUAGGGAGCAGUUUCUCCUCUGUAAUGUUCUUUCCAAAGAGGUUUAUCAAUGUCUUUGUGGAGGUUUAAUUUUGCCAUUGGCAUAUCUAAUGAGUGCUUUUAAUUAUUAUUUUUUUAAUUUCAAUUUUUAUAUUUUUUUCGGAAGUAGAAUUACUUUAGUGGCUGAGACAACUGACUGCGGUUUCUAGUUCUUUUUAUUUUGAGCAACGAUAGAGUCACAAAUUAUUGUAUAAAUUUAUUUUGUAUAAAUUUAUGUGGUAUAAUAAGAUUGGUUGAAUUAAAUAUCACUUGUCCUAUAUGAUUUAUUUUUAUUAUUUUAUAUUUUUAUUCAAUAAUAAAUUAAUGUCACGUCGAUUUGUAUAAGAUAAAUUUAUAUAAAAAUUUAUGGUUCUAUCAUCACUCUUUUAUUUUAAAAAAAUAAUUUUUAGAUGACGAUCCGACAUUUUUUUUAAUAUUUUAAUAGAGGUACUAAUUGCAUAAGGCAAUAUAGAAAAUAUGAUAAUAAAUUAUAUGGAAAGAUUGAAGACUCAACUUUCUACUUUAAGAUAAAAGAAAAAAGAUGCCGACCAAUUCAGUUAUAGGUUGUCCAAUAUGAUCAAUAUCUAACAUUCUUUUUAAUAUUUUAAAUAAACCCAAUGGCAUAAUCAAUAUAAUUUUGUACUUUUAAAAAGAAUUUAGGUGGUAUUAUAAAAAAAUUUAUUGAAAAAACACUCGGUUAAACAUUUAAGAACAAAUAAACCAAUAAAAUUAAUAAGUACGUAACUUGAUUAUGUAAAAGUUAAUCACUUCCAUUUAGAAAAAUUAAGAAAAUGGAUAAAUACAGUCUCACAAAGUACAAAUAGGGUUUUUAAUUUUCUGAUUAAAUUCAAUUUAUACUCAAAUUUGUUAUCUCAAAAAAUUUGCACCAUUGUUGAUAACCAAUUUAAAUAAAAAUACAUAUGUGAUGGCGAUGGUACUAGACUACUAGUUCUUUGCCUGGCGUUACAAGUAUCCCUUAUAUUUUGUUAUUCUUAUUUGCCUUCUUGAAUAAGUUGCUAUGCACAUUGACUCAAAGAGUCAAGCAAGACUCAAACGAGGCAUGACCACCGUCCACCGUCCACCGAGCACCGACCAAGCCCACUUUCUUUUCGUGUCUUUCAUGUACUUCUCCACCCAAGCUGGCCUUGAAAAAAAAAUUAAAAAUGUAAAAGUCGAUCAAUAAUUGUUUCAAGCAUAUUGCAAAAGGGUGUUGAUAUCAACAGUUUUUUUUUUUAAAUCUACUCAAUUUUUAAGAAAUAAUUACAAUAAAUUUACAAUAUUUUUCUAAAUUUAAAUGAAAAAGAAGUAUUCAAAUAAAGAAAAAUUUGGAGACUUAAUCAAAAAAAUUAAAUAUCAAAACCAUUAAAUACAAGGUCUCAUAUUUUUUUAGAUAAUUUAAUCAUUUUAUAUUAUAAGGGUAAAAUAGUCAAAUAAAACUUAUCUUAAAGCAACAUUAAAAAUCAAAGAUAUUUAAGUGCAAAAAAUAAUAAAAAUAAUUUUAUUAAUUAGUUGUCUAAAACUUCUAGUUGACUUGUAAAUAUUGUGAACUUAUUCUAAUUAUUUUUUGGAGAUAGGGUGAAUUUACAAAGUUAAUGGUGGAAAUAUUCCCAAUCAUUUCAAAAACCACCACAUUUAUUAAAUUUCUCCAUAUUUAUGUGAGCCGAUAAUUAAUUUACCAAGAGAACUAAUUGGUGAUUUUGAGAAGAUAAAAGCAUUUUGGUAAAUUACUUUCUUAGUUGGGUUGUGUUUUGGGCCCACAGACCUACCAAUGAAUUCUUUACACGCUAUUUAUGGGUGAGUGGGCAUGUGGAUGUGUGUAGGGGUGGGCAAAAUCGGAUUUGGGUCGGGUUUGAGUUAUUCAGGUUGGGCAAACAUUGAUCCGAAUGCAACCCUAACUUACAAUCCGACCCGAUAUAUAUUCGGAUCGGUUCGGAUCGAGUCAAAAAUCGGGUUGAAUUCGGGUAAAAUCGGUUCGGAUUAAAAACGGAUCAUAUUGAGUUCGGGUCAAAUUAAGUCAAUUCGGGUCGAUGAAAACGGGUCAAUUCAAAACAUAUAUACCAAUACACCAUGAAAGCUUCAAAAUUCAAAACACAUAAGGGAGAAACUGGGGUCGUGUUGGAGGCUUGAGCCUUGGAACAGCAGAUCGGCGGCCACGGCAGUAGAUCACGGAUGGGUUUUCGGCAACAGAUCGGUGGACGCACAGCAACAGCUCGUGCACAGCUGGACGCGCAGCAGCAGAUCGCGAGGAAGGAGAGAUGGCUGGACGCAACACGACGGCUACAGAUCACGGACGCAACAGCAGAUGGUCGGACUCGCAACACGGCAGCAGCAGAUCGCGGGAGGGAGAGAAUGUUUUCUUGCUUCUUGAGGGUGGGUUGGGUAUUGUGAUUUUUUUUUUUUUUACUAAAGAGGAAGAGAAUGUGCCCAGGAUAAUUAACAAUGGAUUAGAGAAUUUUUCCUCAUAUUUAUCUCAGAUUAACGAGACUAAUUUCACUCAUCAUCAUCGCAACUUGUCUUCUAAAAAAAUCACAUUAAGAAAACAAAAAAAAAAAAGAAAGAAAUUUUGAGAAAGAACAAAUACGCAGACGGCUGAAUUGGGGUUUGUGUUUUGUUGUGAGUCAUGUGUUCGUGUAACUCUGUGAAUAUGUGUGGUGUGCGUGUGUUUACCACUUAGUUUUUUUUUUUUUUUAAAAAAGCAACCCAAUCGGGUUUUUUACCCGAUCCGAUCACAACCCGAUUGGGUUUGCAAGAUUUCAUCCGAUCGGGUUUUAUUCACAAUCCGAUCCGAUCCGAACCCGAAAUUUUUUAGGUCGGGUAUUUUGCCCACCCCUAGAUGUGUGUGUCUAUAUAUAUAUAUAAACUUAUAUACUAAAAAGCAAAUUGCCUACUAUAUACUAUUAUUCAUAUACAAGGCACCGGACUAGCGGCAACUAAAUAGAUAUAAUGGUUUUCAUCUAUAGAAGCAAGUAAUGGGAUAUAAUCUCAAUCCAAUCACCAGCGCCAUUUUUCUAGAGGCCUGAAAAUCAUUCAAACUUGCACUAGUCUACGAACUUUAAGCAUUUCAAACAAUCCUAUAUCCAUCAAAUUUCAAACUUUACCAGCAUACCAAAAUUUUCAAAGUACCCAAAUCCCCUAAACUCAAACAAAUUUUAAACUAAAUUUCCAUAAACUUACCACCUUUUAGCAUACCUUUUGAUCAGCAUAUGCAUAUAAAUGAAAAGAAACAUAAUAUAUUUAUACAUAUAGUAGAGAGCAGAAAGAGAAAGAAAGUACGGAUUCAAGAUAAGAGACAGAGGCUUUACGAGCUUCAGGAGUUGAGCUCCAGUAAAGGGUAGUAGCAAUUGCUUGAGGCACAUUGCUUGCUCGGUUAUUAGUAUCCUCCAUCUCUAUAUUGCACACUUUUCUCAUGGAUAAAGAGAAUGAAUUUAGUUCUUCUGAAGCUUUUGUUGAGUUUUCACAGAGAGAAGAAAAUUGGGAGUAAUUUCUUCUCAGUGAUAUUCACUUUAAAGAGGUUUAUCAAUGUCUAUGCCAUUUGUGAAUGUUUUAUUUUUCCAUUAACAUAUUUAAAUUGGAUUUUUAUUUUAUUACUGUUGAUUUUCGAGCAAGAAUCAACAUAAAAACUUGUAAAUAUGAAUUUAAAUACAUACCCGGAUUAUAUGCAGAAAAUCGAUAAAUCAAAGUUGUGCUACUGAUUGUGCUACUGAUUUAUGGUUAGAGGAUGAUCACAAAGUCGGAAAAUCGUCUUAGCUUACGGUACAAUAACCCUCUAAGUUUCUCUUGAGUUGAGUAUUCUCCAAAUUGCACUUUUUUUUUUGUGCUUAAAACUUAUUUUAUCUAUGGAUUUUCCCUCUAUUUAUAACAUUCCAAGAGUAAUGAUCAUCUUCUCAAUAAUCACUAAAUAAGCUUAAACAAUUGUUGGAGUGGUUAUCUUCUUAAUGAUCACUUAAUAUCUUAAAAUAUAAUAUUGUAGCAAUAUAUCAGAGAAGCGGUUCCUUAUUUUGUGAAGGCAAUUUGGGAUCAGGCGGAAUAAAGAACAAUAGAUAUCACUAGUUUAUAGAAAAAAUGACUAUCUUAUUAAGGUUGAAUUGGAGAAAUUGAAUGCUACUAAUGAAACGGACUUUACAAAUGUUAAUGUAGAGUUGAGUUGAGAAAAUUAGCAUAACACAAUAUAUCCACUAUUGAUUGCUUCGAUUAUAGUGAUAAUUGUCAUUUUUUCUUAUAAAUAUACGUAUACAAGUUUUUUUGCAUUCUCCAGCACAUUAAAGGUGUUUGGUAAUUGUUGGACAAAUGUGUGUGUGUGUGUGUGUGUGUGUGUGUCACUUUAAGGUCAACCAUGAGGGAAGCAUGAACAAGAGCAAGUGAUCAUUUUGAAUUAGAACUCUAUAAUAUCUUAAAUAUUAUAUUUAAUGAUAUUAAGUGAUCAUUAAGAAGAUAAUCACUACAACAAUUUUUUAAGCUUAUUUAGUAAUCAUUGAGAAGAUGAUCACUACUCUUGGAAUGCUAUAAAUAGAGGACAAAUCCAUAGAUAAAAUAAGUUUUAAGCCAAAAAAAAAAAAACAAAGCGCAAUUUGGAGAAAACUCAACUCAAGAGAAGCUUAGAGGGUUCUUGUGGCGUGAACUAGGAGGAUUUUCCGACUUUAUGAUCAUCCUCCGACCAUAAAUCAGUAGCACAACCUUGGUUUAUCGAUUUUCCGCAUAUAAUCCGGGUAUGUGUUUAAAUUCGGAUUUACAAGUUUUAAUGUUGAUUUUCGUGAUUCUUGCUCGAAAAUCAACAUUGGUAUUAGAGCUAAAGACCCAAGCAUGUUCUUUAAUCAGAACACAUGCUUUACAUGCUUAAAUCAUAACACAACUUAUUUAGCUCUGACACCAAUGUUGAUUUUCGAGCAAGAAUCAACAUAAAAACUUGUAAAUCCGAAUUUAAACACAUACCCGAAUUAUAUACGGAAAACCGAUAAAUCAAGAUUGUGCUACUGAUUUAUGGUCGGAGGUUGAUUAUAAAGUCGGAAAAUCCUCUUAGUUCACGCCGCCAGAACCCUCUAAGCUUCUCUUGAGUUGAGUUUUCUUCAAAUUACACUUUGUUUCUUCUUUGCUUAAAACUUCUUUUAUCUAUGAAUUUACACUCUAUUUAUGACAUUCCAAGAGUAGUGAUCAUCUUCUCAAUGAUUACUAAAUAAACUUAAACAAUUGUUGGAGUGAGUAUCUUUUUAAUGAUCACUUAAUAUCUUUAUAUAUUUAAGAUAUUAUAGAGCUCUAACUCAAAAUGAUCACUUGCUCUUGGUCAUGCUUCCCUCAUAGGUGACAAUUACCAAACACCUUUAAUGUGCUAGAGAAUGCAAAAAACCUAUAUACGUAUAUUUAUAAGAAAAAAAUGACAAUUAUCACUAUAAUCAAAGCAAUCAAUAGUGGAUAUAUUUUGUUAUUCUAAUUUUCUCAACUCAACUCUACAUUAACAUUUGCAAAUUCCGUCUCAUUAGUAUCAUUCAAUUCCUCCAAUUCAAUCCUAAUAAGAUAGUCAUUUUUCCUGUAAACUAGCAUUCAAUUCUCAAUGAGCAUAGUUGUCUUAUCUCGAACUGCCUUCACAAAAUAGGGAACUGCUUCUCUGAUCUGCUGCACAUAUUUGGGGUGUUCAGUAUACAAUCCUAACUUUGGAAAAUGAUAUGUAUCGAGUUUGUUAUGAUCAAUUACGAAGUCAAUAAACUUGUCUACUGCAGAAGGGAGGUAUUUAGUUGGAAUGAACUUAUGUAGAAACCAAGAGCUAUGGUUUUGGACGAGUGUCCUUAGAGCAGUUUUCAUCUGAGUCAUGUACUCAUCCACCCUCUGUUGUUCUUUAGCUGCAUGUAAAAUAAGUAAAUCACGAUGAUUAAAUCACUAAAAAAUCUUCUAUUUUAAAAUAAAAUAAACGGUAAUAUUAUAUUUAACAAAAUCAAAUAGCUUUCAAAAAUAAUUUUCAAAAUCUCACGUGAUAAAACAAACUGAGGUUGAGGCUCAACUGGUUGGGGUUGAGGCUGUGAUGGUCCUAUUGGUACAAUAGUCGGAUGAACUAUUAAAAAAAAGGACAAAAAUUAGCUUUAUCCCUCCCAUUUUUUCCUUUUGGGUUUGGAACUUAUAUUUUUAAAAAUACAACGGUAUGCGCAACAAUUCAAUAUGAAAAGAAAAUAUUUCUCUUUGAUCUUUUGUUAAUCAACUCUAGUUUCUUAUUAUAAAGAAAAAUAUAAUUUUUUUUAGAAAAUGUUGAUGUCCACCAUUUAUCAUUUUACAAAAAGCACAACCCAUUAGUUAAUUGAAACUUUUUCUGAAUCAUCAAAAAAUAUAUUGCUACAAUAACUACAUAUAAAUCCUUAGUCUUAAAUUCAUACUUUUUCAUUGGGUAGUUUGUUUUCUCAUCACUCCAAAAUCAGAGUUUAAAAGGAUAAGAAUCAACAUAAAUGUGUCAAAAUAAUAAAUUAUAUGAGUAAUUUUACUAAAUUUUAAAUUAUAAAAAUAAAAAGAGGGUAGACGAGAGCCGAUUGUACCACCCUUCAGACUCUUCACCUUUGGGGGGGGGGGGGGGGGGGGGGGCAGUGUAAUUAGUAAACUGUUGAAGUGCUUUAGGUAGAAUACGUGGUCCCUCAGGCUAAGAUGGGAGUGUCUGUGGUGAGAUGGUAGCCACUGGUUGAGAUGGGGCUAUUUGUGGCAUCGUGGUAGUUCACUGGCUGAGAUGGGGCUAUCUAUGGCAUCGUGGUAGUCGCUGGCUAAGACGGGCCUGACUGUGGUGUUAUGGUAGCCACCGGGUCAACUAUUACAUGAUUUUUUUUUAAAAAAAAACUAAGAUUUAAUAAAUAAUAAAUAACAAAACAAUAAAACAAUCUAUUAAUUAAAUAACUAAUUGAUUGAUUGACUAAUAAUUUUAUAUUUAAAAUUAUAAAUAUAAAAAGAGGGUAGACGUGAGCCGAUUGUACCUCUCUUGAAACUCUUCUUAUCACCCCGGGGGAUAUAGAUAGUAAAUUGUUGAAGUGCUUUUGGUAAAAUACCUGGUCCCUCAGUCUGAGAUGGACCUGUUAGUCAUGUGAUGAUAGCCACUGGGGGCUAUCUCUGGCAUCGUGGUAAUCACUGGUUGAGAUGGGGCUAUAUGUGGCAUCGUGGUAGUCACUGGCUGAGACGGGCUUGACUGUGGUGUGAUGGUAGCCACUGUGUUGGGAUCAACGAUUACGUGAUUUUUUUUUUAAAUGAACAACUAAAGUUUAAUAAAUAAUAAAUAACAAAACAAGAAAACAAUCUAUUAAUUAAAUAAAUAAUUGAUUGAUUGAUUAAUAAAUUGAUGGAUAUCUGAUAUCUCAGCUGCUUCCUGAUAUUCAGAUUGGCGGGGUUGGCUUGCUACGAUGUUGGAGCCUGGAUCAGCAGUACUGAACAAAAACAACAUUUGAUAAAUAACUAACUAGUAAAAAAACUAAUUUCUUACGACAAAAAAAAAAAAAAAAAAGAAAGAAAACUAAUUUACCAACUAAAUAAUAAUUAAUGAGUAAAUAAAUCCUUAUAUUUUAUUUCUUUAGAAAAAAAUUGAGGUUUAUU